Salvia splendens (bonfire salvia) is the source of this 649-nucleotide long non-coding RNA. RefSeq lists it as uncharacterized. The transcript has 2 exons. The record is from RefSeq and is a predicted model, not a curated record. Lineage: Eukaryota; Viridiplantae; Streptophyta; Magnoliopsida; Lamiales; Lamiaceae.
UUUACGAUAGCAUUAAAUUGUUUUUUACUCGAUCUAAUGGGCUAUUAACAAAGGCCCAAUAUAAUAUAUGUAUAACUUGAGCCCAUUAGAAAGGCCCAAUUUCAAUGUAACCAAAAAAAACCACAGAAAAAUCAAAACACUCAGUCGAAUCACAGUCGUAUCCCUAUUUCUCACCGGCGAUUUCGUACACAAAUUCGGCGUCUCCGCCGCGGAUUCCCGGCGAGAUUUGUUAAUUCAUUCGGUUUCUCAGCUCUUCUUUCACGUACCUUCGGAAAAUCGUAGAUCUGCUUUGUCCGAUCGGAGAAGGAGGCGAUGAAUGCUUCGAUAUGGGGCUAUUUUAGGAUUAUCUCAGGCACUCUAGUAGGUGGAAUUGCCGGAUUCUAUUUUAUGCACCGCGCUGAGCUCAAGUACAAGGAGAUGUGGGAGGAGAGAUUGAGGAAGUACGAAGAAGAGUUGAAUAGGAGAAAGAAGAUUGAAGAGGCGAAUUCAUCGAAUGAGUUUUCUGAAUCUCUGUAAUUUGCUCUUAUUUACAUUUUAGGAUUUUUCUGCCGUGUUUGCAGCUUAUCGAAUCAUGUUUUGAUUUCCAGAAAUUUGAGUAUUUUGUUCUCCUUUUCAUCUUUUUAGUAAAACAAUACUCAUAUAUAAGAUA